UCUCUGUACGGGAAGGAUGAGAAGCUUCGACUAAGGUUCGAUUCGAGCGCAGCGAGAAAGCGUUGCCGCAGGCAACGACCCGAAGGGCGAAGCGCGCAGCGCUGAGUCAUCCUUCCCCCACCACCA
RNAcentral lists this small RNA (126 nucleotides) under Salmonella enterica. RNAcentral describes it as "partial RtT sRNA". It matches the Rfam family "RtT RNA". From Rfam's summary of the family: This family represents a bacterial cis-regulatory element known as RtT RNA. The exact function of RtT is unknown although it is thought that it may be involved in changing the cellular response in relation to amino acid starvation. RNAcentral also lists the same sequence under 2 other names. Lineage: Bacteria; Pseudomonadati; Pseudomonadota; Gammaproteobacteria; Enterobacterales; Enterobacteriaceae. The record is from RNAcentral.